This is a long non-coding RNA of Felis catus (domestic cat), 3629 nucleotides long. RefSeq lists it as uncharacterized. The transcript is spliced from 2 exons. The record is from RefSeq and is a predicted model, not a curated record. Lineage: Eukaryota; Metazoa; Chordata; Mammalia; Carnivora; Felidae.
CCUCCCCCGCCCGCUUCCAAAUCAUAAAUUAACAACAGUGGACCUUGUGAAGUGCAGCUUCGCAAAUUAAUAUGAAAUACGGGGCUUUUUCAUAAGCUUCAGAACCAGAUUUAAAAGCAUAUUGGUGUUUGUACACAGCAGGCCGUAAUGAUCCAUUAUCCUGCAGACAGAGGAGCUCGCAGCAACACAUAAAGAAGAUGCAGUUGGGCCAUCUGCUUUGAUUUCUGCAGCGUCCCCAGAGAUGCAAGGGAGGGGCCGACAGUCCUCUCCAUCUGCCCUUACAUUAUCAAUUACAGUUGAAUUAUGCCGGGAGCUGUAGGGCUGGCAGAUACGGAUGGGCGGCUGUGGCACCUGAAAAAUAUAGAAGAAAAUCCAUAUGUUGGGAGCCAGCUGUUUAUUUACAAGUCCUUGACAUAUUUCCUCACUUUCUCGGCUGCUGCCUUUUUUAAGGUUCCUAGAGACGUUUCGGUUCAGUGUGAACUUGAGAAGAAAUUAGGUGUAGCAGCAUAGCACCACAUGAAUAAUAUUUCAGUUUCCUUUUUUUUUUUUUUUUUUUUACAGUCGAAAUGUGCGCGGAGCAAAAAAAAAAAAAAAAAACCAACGAAAACCAUCAGGUCGAACAGAUUUUAAAUUAUGAAAAAAAAAUAAGUUGUGAAAACAUCUGGGGUGGCUGCUACAGCUUGUUAUGUUUAUAAAACAUGUUGGAACCGGCGGGGGCCACGCACACUGUACAUUUUUUGGCAGCUUAGAAAUCAUGUGUAAAACUGUAACUUUUAUGAAAUGGUAAGUGUUUAUGGAAGCUUAGGGGGCGGGGAGGUAGACAUCGGAGCGGGCCCUGCACUUCCUGAGGUCUUUUCCCACAGUUUCUAGGGCAGGGUUUUGUUUUGUUUUGACUGGUAUUUUUUCUUUCUUUUCCAACAAGGGGAAGUGCCUUGUCCCUGGUUCGAUUCGUUCUAGACCGGGCAGGUGCACGGCUGCCGCCCUGAUUCGGUCGCGCUUGGGUUUUACGGUGCGGUAUUGCUUCCAACCGUGUGGGAGUUUACCCUUGGUUCUUACUUCACGCCAUGUCCUCUCCCCACAUCCACUCAACCGGAGAGUCUGUGUGCGCGUGUUUGCUCAGCUGAGUUCCAACUCAGUGCGUCUGGAGGGUGGCGGGGGGAGGGUUGGAGUUGGAAUUCAGCAGUUGCAGGCGACAAGGGGCCUCGUGCUGGCUGAGGGGAGACUGUUUCGGAGAUGCCCCAGAAGCAGAGAUCUUUGCAGGGUGAACGAAGAGACUCAGACUAGAAGUCAAGCCCCAAUUGUCUCUUGCCCCUUGGGGCCGAUUCAGGGGGCCUCCUGGUCUGUAGGCUAAGUCGGAGAUCCUAUGCUUAACACUGUUUCUUGCAUUAUGCUUUAGAUCAGUAAGUGAGAGCUUCCUGAAGGAAGGGAUGAACUUCCUUAGGUCUGCUUCUUUCUUAAGACCAGCAUUCCAAGCGUUUGUCAGAUGUUGGAUGAAUGAACCCAUCAAUGAACGGUACCUUAGGAUUUACUUUACGUUACGUAAGACUCGCAGCAGCAGCAAGUGCGAAAUCUAAGAACUACAGAACCCCGUCGUUCCGUGACAUGGCCAUUGAGAUGCCAGCUCUUUGUUACUAAGGAUGCCUUCUCAAACGUGACCACUGUCAGCCGGCCAGGGUGUCUCAUUCUCUUUGUGACCAUUGGGCAGCUCCCUGGAGAAGAGAGGACCCCCACGGGGGUUGUGCUCACAGGCGGUGCUGAUUGUUGUUCUUUUUUUGUCUUUUUUUGUCUUUUUUUGUUGGGUCCAUCUCAUGGAGAUGACGUCAUGUGUGCACGCUGAUGCCCAUGCCGCUUCGUCGUAGAAGCUCAGUGCGUGAGAGUUUUCAUACAACCGCAUCAGGACCCUGUAUGAUCAUCUGUGGGGCCCAGUGCAAAAGGAAACUGUGAGGCUCCUCGAUCACAACUGAAGAACUUCAAGGGGAUGACAGCAAAGCCUUAACCAAGCACAGAGCCCUUCUGAGCAGAUGCCCCCUCUAGGCGGUGGCCUCAUGCAGCUGCUCAGGCCACAGGCCCAGGAAGCCGGCCCCGCCGGUGUUGUCACCACAUCUGCUGGCGGCAGGCCCACUGCUACGGCCUCUACCUCCUUCCCCAUCUUCCUCUUCCUCCACAAGGCAUUAUGCAAGAGUCUCUUACCCGGCUUCCUGUCUCAUCAUUCCCUUUGCCCCAACUCUUUCACUCAGGUCUCUAAUCUCUACUCCUCAUAUCAUACUUAAGAGAAAGGGUGUAGCAAUAGAAUGACUCAGAGAGGUGAACUGAAUUGGCUAAGACCACAUGGAAGGUUAGUGGCUGCUAUGGACUCAGUUGUGCCCCGCCCCUCAGUUUGUAUUUUGAAGCCCGAACCCCAGUGUGACUAGACUCGGAGACAGGACCUUUAUGGAGGUAACUGACAUUAGAGAAGGUCAUAAGGAUGGGGCCCCGAUCCAAUAGGACUGGUGUCAUUAUAAGACAGAGACACCCGGACAGCUCUCUUUCUCACCAUGUGCACACAGAGGAUAGGCCGUGUGAAGGCCCGGCGAGAAGGCACCUGUCUGCAAGUCAGGAAGAUUUCUCAUCGGAAACCAAAUUUGCUGGACCUUGAUCCUGAGCUUCUGGCCUCCAGAAUUUGGAGAAAAUCAACUUCUGUUGUUUAAGCUUCCCAGUCUGUGAUAUUUUAUGCUAGCAGUUCGAGCAGACUGAUAGAGCGGCAGAGCUUGGAUUGCAGCCUAGCAGGAACUUCUCAGUUUGCCUAUAAAGUCCGUGCAGAUGGUGACCGAGGCUUUUACUUCUCCUGCGUCUUCCAUUGACUCCAUGCAGGAUGCAUGAGCAUGCAUGGAGAGGCAAAGUGACAGCGAAUGCACACUGUGCAUUCAUGGAGAGGACUCCAUGAGCAUGCAGGAGAGGCAAAGUGACAGCGAAUGCACGCCCGAGGGACAGAAGAAAGUCACUGAUGCUCCAUUAGCUGGUAUCUUUGAUAACUUCGGUCCUGGAUAUCUAGCCAGGGCUACUUAACAAAUCACCACGUAACGUAAUCCGAUGGCUUAAAACAGCGACAACUAUGCGCUUGCCCAGGAUUCUGUAAUUUAGGCAGCACGCCAAAGGGAGAGCUCGUCUCUACUCCACGUGGCCUCAGCUGGAAUGGCUCCUAAGUGGCUGGAGGGUCCACCUCUCAGAUGGCUUACUCCCACGGACGGCAAAUUGGAAUGCUGGCUGUCUGCGAGGAGCUCAGCGGGGGCUAUCCACCGUGUCUGGUUUCUACCUCACGGGUCCUCUUCCCCCCUGGGCUGGACUUUCGACAGCAUGGCAGCUGGGAUCCCAGAGGGAGCAGCCUAACAGCAAAUGUUCUAAGCGGACAAGUCCCAAUGUCCAAGCUUGCACUGCCCAAUAGGGUAGCCACCAGCCACGUGUGCCUACAGGGCACUUGAAGGUUAGUCUGAAUCAAGAUGUGCUUUAAGGGCAAAAUACACACUAAGUUUGCAAACUUACUCUGAAAAAUAGAAGGAAAAAUGUCCCUAGGACCUUUUUUCAAUAUUGAUCACAUUUUUGAAUAAUAUUUUAGAUAUAUUGGGUUAAAUAAAAUAUACUACUAAAGUUGA